AUUGAACGCUGGCGGCAUGCUUUACACAUGCAAGUCGGACGGCAGCACAGAGAAGCUUGCUUCUUGGGUGGCGAGUGGCGAACGGGUGAGUAAUAUAUCGGAACGUACCGAGUAAUGGGGGAUAACUAAUCGAAAGAUUAGCUAAUACCGCAUAUUCUCUGAGGAGGAAAGCAGGGGACCUUCGGGCCUUGCGUUAUUCGAGCGGCCGAUAUCUGAUUAGCUAGUUGGUGGGGUAAAGGCCUACCAAGGCGACGAUCAGUAGCGGGUCUGAGAGGAUGAUCCGCCACACUGGGACUGAGACACGGCCCAGACUCCUACGGGAGGCAGCAGUGGGGAAUUGUGGACAAUGGGCGCAAGCCUGAUCCAGCCAUGCCGCGUGUCUGAAGAAGGCCUUCGGGUUGUAAAGGACUUUUGUCAGGGAAGAAAAGGCUGUUGCUAAUACCGACAGCUGAUGACGGUACCUGAAGAAUAAGCACCGGCUAACUACGUG
Molecule: ribosomal RNA, 490 nt
Filed under: uncultured bacterium
Lineage: Bacteria
Description: partial 16S ribosomal RNA
Rfam family: Bacterial small subunit ribosomal RNA
Source: RNAcentral